UGGGCAACCUGCCCCCGGCUCUGGGAUAACUCCAAGAAAUUGGGGCUAAUACCGGAUAUGACCGCUGACCGCAUGGUCUGGUGGUGGAAAGUUUUUCGGCUGGGGAUGGGCCCGCGGCCUAUCAGCUUGUUGGUGAGGUGAUGGCCUACCAAGGCGACGACGGGUAGCCGGCCUGAGAGGGCGACCGGCCACACUGGGACUGAGACACGGCCCAGACUCCGUACGGGAG
This 229-nucleotide ribosomal RNA is filed under the name uncultured bacterium. RNAcentral describes it as "partial 16S ribosomal RNA". It matches the Rfam family "Bacterial small subunit ribosomal RNA", at positions 118 to 347 of the family's 1533-position model. The record is from RNAcentral.